RNAcentral lists this ribosomal RNA (476 nucleotides) under uncultured bacterium. Its description in RNAcentral is "bacterial SSU rRNA". It matches the Rfam family "Bacterial small subunit ribosomal RNA", at positions 27 to 518 of the family's 1533-position model. The record is from RNAcentral.
GGACGAACGCUGGCGGCACGCUUAACACAUGCAAGUCGAACGGAGAAUGUUGAGUUACUUAGACAUUCUUAGUGGCGGACGGGUGAGUAACACGUGAGCAACCUGCCUUUGAGAGAGGGAUAGCUUCUGGAAACGGAUGGUAAUACCUCAUAACGUAGUGAGACCGCAUGGUCAUACUACCAAAGAUUAAUCACUCAAAGAUGGGCUCGCGUCUGAUUAGCUAGAUGGUGAGGUAACGGCCCACCAUGGCGACGAUCAGUAGCCGGACUGAGAGGUUGAACGGCCACAUUGGGACUGAGACACGGCCCAGACUCCUACGGGAGGCAGCAGUGGGGAAUAUUGCACAAUGGGGGAAACCCUGAUGCAGCGAUGCCGCGUGGAGGAAGAAGGUUUUCGGAUUGUAAACUCCUGUCUUAAAGGACGAUAAUGACGGUACUUUAGGAGGAAGCUCCGGCUAACUACGUGCCAGCCGCGGC